This 914-nucleotide ribosomal RNA is filed under the name uncultured bacterium. RNAcentral's name for it is "bacterial SSU rRNA". It matches the Rfam family "Bacterial small subunit ribosomal RNA", at positions 246 to 1155 of the family's 1533-position model. The record is from RNAcentral.
UUGUUGGUAAGGUAAAAGCUUACCAAGGCUUCGAUCAGUAGCUGGUCUGAGAGGACGACCAGCCACACUGGGACUGAGACACGGCCCAGACUCCUACGGGAGGCAGCAGUGGGGAAUUUUGGACAAUGGGGGCAACCCUGAUCCAGCCAUGCCGCGUGAGUGAAGAAGGCRUUCGUUGUAAAGCUCUUUCAGCCGGAACGAAACGGUUACGGAUAACACCCGUGACUACUGACGGUACCGGAAGAAGAAGCACCGGCUAACUACGUGCCAGCAGCCGCGGUAAUACGUAGGGUGCGAGCGUUAAUCGGAAUUACUGGGCGUAAAGCGUGCGCAGGUGGUUUUGUAAGUCAGAUGUGAAAGCCCCGGGCUCAACCUGGGAACUGCGUUUGAAACUACAAGACUAGAGUGUGGCAGAGGGGGGUGGAAUUCCGCGUGUAGCAGUGAAAUGCGUAGAGAUGUGGAGGAACACCGAUGGCGAAGGCAGCCCCCUGGGUCAACACUGACGCUCAGGCACGAAAGCAUGGGGAGCAAACAGGAUUAGAUACCCUGGUAGCCCAUGCCCCAAACGAUGUCAACUAGUUGUCGGGCCUUUACGGGCUUGGUAACGUAGCUAACGCGUGAAGUUGACCGCCUGGGGAGUACGAUCGCAGGAUUAAAACUCAAAUGAAUUGACGGGGACCCGCACAAGCGGUGGAUUAUGUGGAUUAAUUCGAUGCAACGCGAAAAACCUUACCUACCCUUGACAUGUAUCGAAGCCCGCAGAAAAGCGGGGGUGCCCGAAAGGGAACGAUAACACAGGUGCUGCAUGGCUGUCGUCAGCUCGUGUCGUGAGAUGUUGGGUUAAGUCCCGCAACGAGCGCAACCCUUGUCAUUAAUUGCCAUCAUUUAGUUGGGCACUUUAAUGAGACUGCCGG